CGUAGGGGGCAAGCGUUGUUCGGAAUUAUUGGGCGUAAAGGGCAUGUAGGCGGUUUUGUAAGCCUGGUGUGAAAUCCUGCAGCUUAACUGUAGAAUUGCAUUGGGUACUGCAAGACUUGAAUCACAGAGGGGAAACUAGAAUUCCAGGUGUAGGGGUGGAAUCUGUAGAUAUCUGGAAGAAUACCGGUGGCGAAGGCGGGUUUCUAGCUGAUGAUUGACGCUGAGGUGCGAAAGUGCGGGGAGCAAACGGGAUUAGAUACCCCGGUAGUCCUAGCCCUAAACGAUGAAUGCUUGGUGUGGCGGGUAUCGAUCCCUGCCGUGCCGAAGCUAACGCAUUAAGCAUUCCGCCUGGGGAGUACGGUCGCAAGGCUG
Molecule: ribosomal RNA, 372 nt
Filed under: uncultured organism
Description: bacterial SSU rRNA
Rfam family: Bacterial small subunit ribosomal RNA
Source: RNAcentral